CACCUCUAGCAUUUCCAGUAUUAGAGGCACUGCCUGCCCGGUGACACUAGUUAAACGGCCGCGGUAUCCUGACCGUGCAAAGGUAGCAUAAUCAUUUGUUCCCUAAAUAGGGACUUGUAUGAAUGGCCACACGAGGGCUUUACUGUCUCUUACUUCCAAUCCGUGAAAUUGACCUUCCCGUGAAGAGGCGGGAAUACAACAAUAAGACGAGAAGACCCUAUGGAGCUUCAAUUAAUCGACUCAAAGAGACUCCACUAACUAACCGACAGGAACAACAAACCUCUACAUGAGCCGACAAUUUAGGUUGGGGUGACCUCGGAGAACAAAACAACCUCCGAGUGAUUUAAAUCUAGACUAACCAGUCAAAAGUAUUACAUCACUUAUUGAUCCAAAAACUUGAUCAACGGAACAAGUUACCCUAGGGAUAACAGCGCAAUCCUAUUUCAGAGUCCAUAUCGACAAUAGGGUUUACGACCUCGAUGUUGGAUCAGGACAUCCCGAUGGUGCAGCAGCUAUCAAAGGUUCGUUUGUUCAACGAUUAAAGUCCU
This 548-nucleotide ribosomal RNA is filed under the name Prionailurus bengalensis (leopard cat). RNAcentral describes it as "partial large subunit ribosomal RNA". It matches the Rfam family "Bacterial large subunit ribosomal RNA", at positions 1816 to 2597 of the family's 2925-position model. The record is from RNAcentral. Lineage: Eukaryota; Metazoa; Chordata; Mammalia; Carnivora; Felidae.